GAAGAAAAAAUAUGCUUUACAGAGCGGAUGACACGCUGCAGCCUGCCCUUGUCCUUGGCUGUGGCUGCAGCGUACCAGACGGUGAUGGAGGAGCAGAGGAUGGACUCGAUGAUGGCCGUGUAAAAGUGCACCAUCAUCGUCUUUGGCAGGUUGAAUUUCUUCAGCUGCCUGAGGAAGAACAACCUCUGCUGCUUAUUGGUGAUGGAGCUGAUGUUCAGCUCCCACUUGAGGUCCUGGGUGAUGAUGGAGCCCAGGAAACGGAAGGAAUCCACAAUAGUGACGGGGGAGUCGCACAGAGUAAUGGGGGAAGGUGGGGCUCUGUUCCUCCGGAAAUCCACAACCAUCUCCACUGUCUUUAGGGCGUUGAGCUCUAGGUUGUUCUGGCUGCACCACGACACCAGAUUCCCACCUGUAGGCGGACUCAUCACCACCAGAGAUCAGUCCAACGAAGGUGGUGUCAUCCGCAAAUUUCAGGAGCUUGACGGACUGCACUGCAUGAAAAGUGAGAUUUUCGUCCCCGGAAACGCCCGGAAAUCUCCCUAAUUUCCGACCAUUUCCGACAAUUUGCAACCCGCGCACGUCGUGUUUGUCGGA
Molecule: long non-coding RNA, 594 nt
Organism: Gasterosteus aculeatus aculeatus (three-spined stickleback)
Lineage: Eukaryota; Metazoa; Chordata; Actinopteri; Perciformes; Gasterosteidae
Source: Ensembl